Molecule: long non-coding RNA, 200 nt
Organism: Polyodon spathula (Mississippi paddlefish)
Lineage: Eukaryota; Metazoa; Chordata; Actinopteri; Acipenseriformes; Polyodontidae
Exons: 3
Source: RefSeq, a predicted model, not a curated record
GUUGUGUAUUCUAUAUUGUAAUUUAACAUUUAAAAAACUGUUCUGUUUUUAUUUUUCAGCCGUUCUUCAUCUUCGAGAGGAACUGGAGUCUGUGAGGCGCGUCCUUAAAUCAGAAUGGAAGUGGAUCCUCAGCUCAGCAGGUAUGUGUCUCUUCAAUGGAUUCCUUUCACAGUAGAGGGCGAAAGAACAGCAAGGAGCCC